RNAcentral lists this ribosomal RNA (579 nucleotides) under uncultured Saprospiraceae bacterium. RNAcentral's name for it is "bacterial SSU rRNA". It matches the Rfam family "Bacterial small subunit ribosomal RNA", at positions 337 to 916 of the family's 1533-position model. Lineage: Bacteria; Pseudomonadati; Bacteroidota; Saprospiria; Saprospirales; Saprospiraceae. The record is from RNAcentral.
UCCUACGGGAGGCAGCAGUAAGGAAUAUUGGUCAAUGGACGGAAGUCUGAACCAGCCAUCCCGCGUGCAGGAUGAAGGUCCUAUGGAUUGUAAACUGCUUUUAGCAGAGAAGAAAAGCAUUCAUUGAUGAGUGUCUGACGGUAUCUGCGGAAUAAGCACCGGCUAACUCCGUGCCAGCAGCCGCGGUAAUACGGAGGGUGCAAGCGUUAUCCGGAAUCACUGGGUUUAAAGGGUGCGUAGGCGGAGAAUUAAGUCAGUGGUGAAAGCCUGUCGCUUAACGAUAGAACUGCCAUUGAUACUGAUUUUCUUGAAUUGGGUUGAGGUUAGCGGAAUGUGACAUGUAGCGGUGAAAUGCAUAGAUAUGUCAUGGAACACCAAUUGCGAAGGCAGCUAGCUGGGCCUUGAUUGACGCUGAGGCACGAAAGCGUGGGUAGCGAACAGGAUUAGAUACCCUGGUAGUCCACGCCCUAAACGAUGCUAACUCGAUGUUUGGGCGUAAGUUUGAGCAUCCAAGGGAAACCGAUAAGUUAGCCACCUGGGGAGUACGACCGCAAGGUUGAAACUCAAAUGAAUUGACGG